GAUGAACGCUGGCGGCGUGCCUAAUACAUGCAAGUCGAACGCAUUGUGGUUGAAAUGAUAUGAAGAACUUGUUCAGAUUUGAUUUUAAACAUUGCAAUGAGUGGCGAACGGGUGAGUAACACGUGGGAAACCUACCUCUUAGCAGGGGAUAACAUUUGGAAACAAAUGCUAAUACCGUAUAAUAAUUAAAACCGCAUGGUUUUAGUUUAAAAGAUGGUCUUGCUAUCACUAAGAGAUGGUCCCGCGGUGUAUUAGUUAGUUGGUGAGGUAAUGGCUCACCAAGACAAUGAUACAUAGCCGAGUUGAGAGACUGACCGGCCACAAUGGGACUGAGACACGGCCCAUACUCCUACGGGAGGCAGCAGUAGGGAAUCUUCCACAAGUGGACGAAAGUCUGAUGGAGCAACGCCGCGUGUGUGAUGAAGGGUUUCGGCUCGUAAAACACUGGUUGUAAGAGAAGAAUGACAUUGAGAGUAACUGUUCAAUGUGUGACGGUAUCUUAACCG
RNAcentral lists this ribosomal RNA (506 nucleotides) under uncultured bacterium. RNAcentral describes it as "bacterial SSU rRNA". It matches the Rfam family "Bacterial small subunit ribosomal RNA", at positions 28 to 486 of the family's 1533-position model. The record is from RNAcentral.